Molecule: ribosomal RNA, 253 nt
Filed under: uncultured bacterium
Lineage: Bacteria
Description: partial 16S ribosomal RNA
Rfam family: Bacterial small subunit ribosomal RNA
Source: RNAcentral
UACGUAGGGGGCUAGCGUUGUCCGGAAUCAUUGGGCGUAAAGCGCGUGUAGGCGGUCCGGUAAGUCCGCUGUGAAAGUCGGGGGCUCAACCCUCGAAAGCCGGUGGAAACUGUCGGGCUAGAGUGCGGAAGAGGCGAGUGGAAUUCCUGGUGUAGCGGUGAAAUGCGCAGAUAUCAGGAGGAACACCAAUUGCGAAGGCAGCUCGCUGGGACGUGACUGACGCUGAGACGCGAAAGCGUGGGGAGCAAACAGG